Molecule: ribosomal RNA, 207 nt
Filed under: uncultured bacterium
Lineage: Bacteria
Description: partial 16S ribosomal RNA
Rfam family: Bacterial small subunit ribosomal RNA
Source: RNAcentral
CUCGUAGGUGGUUUGUCGCGUUGUUCGUGAAAUCCCACGGCUUAACUGUGGGCGUGCGGGCGAUACGGGCAGACUGGAGUACUGCAGGGGAGACUGGAAUUCCUGGUGUAGCGGUGGAAUGCGCAGAUAUCAGGAGGAACACCGGUGGCGAAGGCGGGUCUCUGGGCAGUAACUGACGCUGAGGAGCGAAAGCGUGGGGAGCGAACA